GUAUUUACAGUUGUGCUUGAAUACACAUGGGUUGACCUGUUUUUGUGUUGAUUUUGAGUAACGACUGUCUAUAUAAUUUUGAUGUUACCCUUUUUUAUUCAUUUCUUCUAACUUUUAUCUGAACAAGUUAUACUUUAAUACACACCCUAUAUUCCUUACAUUAUAAACUUGAUUUUGAUUGGUGUCCGAUUUACGUCUUCUUAGUUUAUCGUGUCUUAAAUGUAUUCUCAUGUAGAAUUGGUGGAUGCUACUGGCCUUAACUCCAGGUGUAAAUCUAAGAAGACGACUCGUGCAUAAGGUUUUGGUUUCGUCCACGAAGAAGUAUGACCAAGUCGGUUACAGCUAUCUUGUUUAUACUACAGGUGUAGGUCCCUUCUAUCGACAUCUAAAUUAAAGUCCUGAUAUGUUAGGGUAGUAUGUCGAUAAGUCCGAUGUAAUCCAUUCUCAAUGUUCAACUUUAUCUUUUGGUUCUAGUUUAAGACUAGUGACAUGUAGAGUUAUCUCGUCUGUUUAUAUGUUUGUGUUUAAAUCUAUUUUAUUGUUGGAAACUAUAUUUAUCGUAUAAGACCCUUUUUUAUAGUUUUAUAUAACUUAGACCAUGGAUUUGCUAAACCAGAAACAAAUCUGACGGCUAACAAUUACUUCAAGUUUAAACUCGACACUACACUAUCAUCUAAGUUGACGCUUAGUCUGUUUGCUAAAGUGAUAUUGAAUUUACCCAAGCUCACUAAUGUUUAAGGACACAUUUGUUUGAGUCUUGUCUUAUGUUAAAUGCUCUCGCCUUUAAGCAGAGUUCAAAUACAUACGAAGUCGACAUCUAAUAGCUAACAUGGAAACCAAACAUCGUGGAACUAGCUAAGCGCUGCCAUCUUGCAACACGGUCCUUCUAGCCUAGCCUGCUCU
Molecule: ribosomal RNA, 903 nt
Filed under: Triticum aestivum (bread wheat)
Lineage: Eukaryota; Viridiplantae; Streptophyta; Magnoliopsida; Poales; Poaceae
Description: partial small subunit ribosomal RNA
Source: RNAcentral